CGGGAUACCCGAGGGAAACUUCGGUUAAUACGGUAUAAGACCACACUACCGCAUGGUAGAGGGGUAAAAGGGGCAACCUGGUAUGAGAUGGACUCGCGUCGCAUUAGCUAGUUGGUGAGGUAACGGCCCACCAAGGCGACGAUGCGUAGCCGACCUGAGAGGGUGAUCGGCCACAUUGGGACUGAGAUACGGCCCAGACUCCUACGGGAGGCAGCAGUGGGGAAUAUUGGGCAAUGGAGGAAACUCUGACCCAGCAAUGCCGCGUGAAUGAAGAAGGUCUUCGGAUUGUAAAGUUCUUUAGUCAGGGAAGAAGUCAAUGACGGUACCUGAAGAAUAAGCUCCGGCUAACUACGUGCCAGCAGCCGCGGUAAUACGUAGGGAGCAAGCGUUGUUCGGAAUGACUGGGCGUAAAGGGUGCGUAGGCGGUUGUACAAGUUAGAAGUGAAAUACCCAGGGCUUAACUCGGGUGCUGCUUCUAAAACUGUAUGACUUGAGUGCAGUAGAGGUUAGUGGAAUUCCUAGUGUAGCGGUGGAAUGCGUAGAUAUUAGGAGGAACACCAGAGGCGAAGGCGGCUAACUGGACUGCAACUGACGCUGAGGCACGAAAGUGUGGGGAGCAAACAGGAUUAGAUACCCUGGUAGUCCACACUGUAAACGAUGGAUAAUAGAUGUAGGAGGUAUCGACUCCUUCUGCGUCGCAG
This 701-nucleotide ribosomal RNA is filed under the name uncultured bacterium. Its description in RNAcentral is "bacterial SSU rRNA". It matches the Rfam family "Bacterial small subunit ribosomal RNA", at positions 139 to 851 of the family's 1533-position model. The record is from RNAcentral.